UACUCGAGUGGCGAACGGGUGAGUAACACGUGGGUGAUCUGCCUUGCACUCUGGGAUAAGCUUGGGAAACUGGGUCUAAUACCGGAUAGGAACCGUCUUUAGUGUGGUGGUUGGAAAGUUUUUUCGGUGCAAGAUGAGCUCGCGGCCUAUCAGCUUGUUGGUGGGGUAAUGGCCUACCAAGGCGCCGACGGGUAGCCGGCCUGAGAGGGUGUACGGCCACAUUGGGACUGAGAUACGGCCCAG
This 243-nucleotide ribosomal RNA is filed under the name uncultured Actinomycetales bacterium. RNAcentral describes it as "partial 16S ribosomal RNA". It matches the Rfam family "Bacterial small subunit ribosomal RNA", at positions 88 to 334 of the family's 1533-position model. The record is from RNAcentral. Lineage: Bacteria; Bacillati; Actinomycetota; Actinomycetes; Actinomycetales.